AUGGGGCCGCCGCCGCUCAAGCUCAACAUCAGCCGAGAUGGGGACAGAAUCAGCGCGCUCCACGACGACCUCCUCCUCGGGAUCCUCGAGCGUCUCGACCUGCGCGACGCGGUCCGCGCCGGCGCGCUCUCGGCGCGGUGGCGGCACCUCCCCUACCGGCUCUCGCGCCUGCACCUCAACGCCGGCCACUUCCACCGCGCCACGCUGCUCGAGGGCAUGGGCGCGUUCAAGGACGCGGCGUGCAGGCUGCUGUCCGUGUGUCCUCCUCCGGCCGCCGGCAAGAGCCCUCGUGUCAUCGAGACCCUCGCCCUCACCUUCUGCGUGUCGGCCCCUCACCUGAGCUUCAUCGGCCGCGCUGUUGAGGACGUCGUCAGCCGCGGCCACACCAAAUGCUUCCAGUUUGACAUAUGCUCCCGAUGCAAGGACGGCACUAGACGCACUACCCAGCUGCUCACAGAGUUAGGGAAGCAGUUCAUGUCAUUCUCCAGCGCCUACCCUGUCGCCUUCGGGUGGCUCACGUUUCUUACACUCGAGGACCUCGCAUUUGGGGAUUCCGAUGUCGCAGACCUCAUUCGUGGUUGUGAUAAGCUCAAGGACCUCAAGUUGAGAUCCUGCAGACUGGUUGACCGACACUCUGCGCUCAAGAUCGACACGCCGCAUGCCGGGCUUGAGAAUCUUUGGUUCAUCAGCUUUCGUUGCGCACUGAUCGAGCUUAUCUCCGUCCCUAAGCUCAGGAUAUUCUGGUGUUGGAGCCGCAAGAACCCUCCUGUGCGCUGCGGCUAUGUUCCUGAGCUUUACAAAGUAGAACUCGGUUCUCGGGCCAAGGCAUCGCAAGUGCCAUUUGCACUGAGCGAGUGCUUUUCAAGGAGUGCCACAAACCUGUCUAAACUGUAUCUCAAUUUUGGCUCUCAAAUGAUUUGGAUUAAGCCAGAACACCCGAAGGAGCUCACUUCUAUAUUCAACAACCUGACUAGUUUGGCGCUUUUUAAUAUCUUUUCUGAGUGUAACCUGAGCUGGACCUUGUUUAUCCUUGAAGUUGCACCUGCCCUGCAGAAAUUCAGAUUAUCUCGAACUCAACACCCAUGUGCCAAAGUGUCCAAGGACAAUCCCGAGAAGACUAAGAUCGUGCGGGAACCAUCCAAGGAUUUGAAGCACCUAAACCUGAAGUUAUUUAUAAUGUUUGGGUUCGAGGAUGAAGACAAGGUGACAAACUAUAUAAGGCUUGUCAUGGAACGUGCCGUGGGCUUGAAAAGAAUCGAGUUGCAUGGUAGAAGCCCAUGCAAUGGGUGCGAUGCCAUCGACCUUGAGUCCCUGAGAAGAUCCCAGGCGGAUGAAGCUAGCAGGCAUCGGAUUAAGGAGCAACUCAGACAUGGAUCUUCCUCGUCCGUGGAGAUAGUAAUCUGCUGA
RNAcentral lists this ribosomal RNA (1407 nucleotides) under Triticum aestivum (bread wheat). RNAcentral's name for it is "partial small subunit ribosomal RNA". The record is from RNAcentral. Lineage: Eukaryota; Viridiplantae; Streptophyta; Magnoliopsida; Poales; Poaceae.